CUUCUGUUUCUCUUCCUCCUAUUCAUCCUUAGUAUAUCCUACUCUUCCUCCUGCUCUUCCUCUCCUCCUACUCUUCCUCCUGCUCUUC
Pangasianodon gigas (Mekong giant catfish) is the source of this 88-nucleotide non-coding RNA. The record is from the annotation of a GenBank genome assembly. NCBI's taxonomy places the organism in Eukaryota, Metazoa, Chordata, Actinopteri, Siluriformes, Pangasiidae.